Molecule: transfer RNA, 69 nt
Filed under: Thalamita sima
Lineage: Eukaryota; Metazoa; Arthropoda; Malacostraca; Decapoda; Portunidae
Description: tRNA-Gln
Source: RNAcentral
UAUUCGUUGGUGUAUAGAGCACAUAAAGUUUUGAUCUUUAAAGAGAUGGUGUAAAUCCGUUACGUAUAA